UUGGCGGACGGGUGAGUAACGCGUGGGGAACCUGCCCUGUACAGGGGGAUAACACUUAGAAAUAGGUGCUAAUACCGCAUAAGCGCACAGUAUCGCAUGAUACAGUGUGAAAAACUCCGGUGGUACAGGAUGGACCCGCGUCUGAUUAGCUGGUUGGCGGGGUAACGCCCACCAAGGCGACGAUCAGUAGCCGGCCUGAGAGGGUGAACGGCCACAUUGGGACUGAGACACGGCCCAAACUCCUACGGAAGGCAGCAG
RNAcentral lists this ribosomal RNA (258 nucleotides) under uncultured bacterium. RNAcentral describes it as "partial 16S ribosomal RNA". It matches the Rfam family "Bacterial small subunit ribosomal RNA", at positions 95 to 354 of the family's 1533-position model. The record is from RNAcentral.